RNAcentral lists this ribosomal RNA (170 nucleotides) under Dexillus muelleri (tufted sole). RNAcentral's name for it is "partial 12S rRNA". The record is from RNAcentral. Lineage: Eukaryota; Metazoa; Chordata; Actinopteri; Pleuronectiformes; Soleidae.
CACCGCGGUUAAACGAGAGGCUCAAGUUGAUAAAUACGGCAGAAAGCGUGGUUAAGGAAUUUCAACUCAACUAAAGUCAAACGCUUCCAAAGCAGUCAUACGCACCCGAAAGUAUGAAGAUCACCAACGAAAGUGACUUUACUACCCCUGAACCCACGUAAGCUAAGACA